AUGAGCCCCUGGUGUCCAGGUACGCGCAAAAACUCUAACGUGGCCACAUGCCAAAAUGCCAGCCUCCUCCUUGGUUAUACCAAGAAACCAGGGGAUGUGUAUCAACAAGAGACAGUAAAAAAGGUUUAG
RNAcentral lists this ribosomal RNA (129 nucleotides) under Triticum aestivum (bread wheat). Its description in RNAcentral is "partial small subunit ribosomal RNA". Lineage: Eukaryota; Viridiplantae; Streptophyta; Magnoliopsida; Poales; Poaceae. The record is from RNAcentral.